CGGGGGAAACGGAACCCCCGCGAGUCUGCUUGAGGGCGGUGUGCACUUUUCCUUCGCCAUAGUGCGUCGCGAUCCGUUGGUCGGCGGCUUAAAGCCCGGGGUUAUUAUCGGUGCUGCGGCGCGGGUUCGCCCGCGUCGCGGUGCCGAGUCCCCGGUGUGCGUGCGGCGGGCGGCUUCACAGCGCCCGCGUUCGCUUUCCCGGCCGCCGUGUAAGCCCGCCCCGUAGCGGGGCGGCAAGUUACGACGGUUAUGAAAUACGUGGAAGACGUCUCGACCGUCACCUACCCCGUCGCAAGGCGGGCGAGGGGGCGGCGGGCCUCUCCGGACCUUGGCUUUUGCCUUUCACAAGCGCGGAACGCGGUGGUUAGCUAGCGCGCGGCGGGCGGCCCGAAGGGGUUUCGUCAUCGCGCGUAUCCCAUUGAUACGUUCCCGCGAUGACAGGAGAGGACGGCUACAAAGGACUCUCCCGUGAGAGAAAGUGAAACACGGACCAAGGAUUUACCCUG
Molecule: ribosomal RNA, 506 nt
Filed under: Acheta domesticus (house cricket)
Lineage: Eukaryota; Metazoa; Arthropoda; Insecta; Orthoptera; Gryllidae
Description: partial 28S ribosomal RNA
Source: RNAcentral